Ananas comosus (pineapple) is the source of this 2152-nucleotide RNA transcript. It is a transcript of the gene named CBL-interacting protein kinase 24, with no coding region annotated. Lineage: Eukaryota; Viridiplantae; Streptophyta; Magnoliopsida; Poales; Bromeliaceae. The record is from RefSeq and is a predicted model, not a curated record. The transcript has 16 exons.
CGGUGCGAAGGUACCACUGUCGGUAACUUUGCCGAAAAAGCGGUGUGAGAUGGUGCUGAUCUGCUGUUCGUAUGUCUCAGCCUCGCCUUCCGUCAGCUCCCUGUUCUACAUGUCUCUCUCCCUCCUCGUGCGACCGAAGGGAAAGGAAUCCUACGUCAACCUAACAAGUAUCGAGUAUUAACAAGCCAUCCGCAAUUCCGUAUCCACUUUUACUCCUUUUUCUCCUUCCCGGACGGUGCGUCUCUGCUGCUAUCUGAGUUUUCGAUCUAUCGCCUCCGCCUCCGCCCUCAUCCCACCCAUCCCUAAUACUCGAUCCGUGGCGGAGGGCGGGGAUAAGGAUCGAGGCUGGGAUCAGAGAAGACGCCAGCCAAUGAGCGAUGGGGAUGAGGAGAGUAGGAAAGUAUGAGGUCGGGAGGACCAUCGGGCAGGGCACCUUCGCCAAGGUAAAGUUCGCCGUCAACACGGAGACCCGGGAGAGCGUCGCCAUGAAGAUCCUCACCAAGUCCACCAUCCUCAAGCACAAGAUGGUCCAUCAGAUAAAAAGAGAAAUAUCCAUAAUGAAGAUUGUCAGACACCCUAACAUAGUAAGACUACAUGAGGUUUUGGCUGGCAGGACGAAGAUAUAUAUCAUCUUGGAACUUGUUAAUGGAGGUGAACUGUUUGAUAAAAUCGUUCACCAAGGAAAGCUUCAUGAGAGUGAAGCUAGGCGGUACUUUCAGCAACUUGUUGAUGCAAUUGAUUAUUGCCACAGUAAGGGUGUCUUUCAUAGGGAUUUGAAGCCUGAAAAUCUUCUUCUUGAUUCGCGGGGAAACUUAAAAGUUUCUGAUUUUGGUCUUAGUGCAUUGACCCAGCAGGGAGUGGGCCUUCUUCAUACAACAUGUGGGACCCCUAAUUAUGUUGCUCCUGAGGUACUCAACAAACAGGGUUAUGAUGGAGCUGCAGCAGAUGUAUGGUCAUGUGGGGUUAUACUGUACGUUUUAAUGGCUGGAUUUCUUCCAUUCAAUGAUGUUGAUCUUCCAGCACUGUAUAGAAAGAUUAAUGCAGCAGAAUUUUCCUUCCCAUCCUGGUUCUCUUCCGGAGCUAAGUCACUGAUACUGAGGAUACUUGAUCCUACUCCAAGCACUCUCUUAUUGCAGCGUAUUGACAUUGAAGGAAUAAGAAAUGACACAUGGUUCAAGAGAAAAUAUGUAGCUGUUAAAAGUGGCGAAGAUGAGGAAGUUAAUCUUGAUGAUGUACAUGCUGUUUUUAAUGACAUUGAGGACCAAUAUGUAUGUGAGCAAGUAGCUGAUGAUGAUGUUGGCCCUCUUAUGAUGAAUGCCUUUGAGAUGAUUACGCUUUCUCAAGGGUUAGACCUGUCAGCAUUAUUUGACAGACGACAGGAUUAUGUAAAACGUCAAACCCGUUUUGUCUCACGGCAACCAGCGAACACCAUUAUAGCGACGAUUGAAGCUGUUGCUGAGUUGAUGGGCCUCAAGGUCCAUUCACAAAACUACAAGCAGAUGAGGCUUGAAGGAGUGUCCUCAAAUAAAAUGGGUCAAUUUGCUGUUGUCCUGGAGGUUUUUGAAGUCGCGCCUUCUCUUUUCAUGGUUGAUGUCCGGAAGGUUGCUGGUGAUACUUUAGAAUAUCACAGGCUGUGGAUGAUGCAGUUACUUCAGAAAUAGCAUGAGAAUUCUGAAAUGGUGAGUUGAAGUGUCAGACCGAAAAUAAAUGGUGAUUUUGUUUCGGUCAAUUACUUUUGAGUUCUACGAGAACUUAUGCACUAGGCUGGAGCAUAUCAUCUGGAAGCCCACAGAAGCAGCUGCAUAACCUACCCUGCUUAGAACUACUACUUGCUAACUGCAGGUUUGCCAAUCAUAGCUGAGGUGGGAGCUUCCAGUUUGGAAGGAAUCAAGCUUCUCUUGUUGCCUUGAUUUUCUGCACUAGUAGCAACAUGUAAUUGCGGUCUUCAAUUGUGGCAUAUCUAGAUCACCCUCAUCAAUGCUGUGUAAUUAUGUGCCACCAGCUUUUAGGUUUGGUUUUGUAUGUAAGUGUCUUUUGUAGAGUGGAUAGUUGAUCCCAAAAGGUGUUGUGAAAUGUAAGUCUCAAAAUAAAGGCUUUAAGUGUAUAAAUAAGGUUCCUCUUAAGAUGAAGUUGGAUCAAGCGUUUGAUGGAA